Molecule: long non-coding RNA, 962 nt
Filed under: Sorghum bicolor (sorghum)
Lineage: Eukaryota; Viridiplantae; Streptophyta; Magnoliopsida; Poales; Poaceae
Description: long non-coding RNA (SBIC_LNC000721)
Source: RNAcentral
UUUGCAUGAAAAAUUUAGCUAUGUAAACUUACCCCUAUUACCUUAGUCCCUUAUGGGGCUUAUGGCUUUUCCUUUGUCUUAGGUGGUUGAGAGACAGAACAGUUUGACUUGAGCACUAACUUUCUCAUUCUUAGCAAGUUUCAUAUCAGAGGUUUUGUGAUAUUUUCAAAAGAAAGCUUAAAUGUUCCUCUUAUGGUUCUCUCAUGUCACUCAAAUGGUGUAUGAUUCCUCACCAAGGCAUAUGGUAAGAGUUGCCUUCUCUAUUUCAUCCUAUUUCUAAAAGGCUUAUGUGGAGUUCAAGGUAGGGAUGAAAGGAGAUAGCAUACUUACUUUGCAUGUGUUGCGAAGUCAAAGCUCGGAUCCUUGAAGAGAAGUGUCAUACUCCCAGAUCAAGAUGUGCAAGUGUGAUAUAUGGUGGACUAGGUUGCUCCUUUAUUUGAUAGACUCUCUAUGUAUUGAGACAUGGCUAGCAUUUUUUUUCUUCUUUUUUUUUAUAUAUGAGCUUUCAUGUGCUCAAUUUUCUUUUUCUGUGGACUUGCACAUGUCCAUCUUUUUAUUUCAUUUUGCCUAGCCUUUUGAUGUCUCAUUUACCAAAUAAUGCUUAGAGAGAUGUUCUAACAUUUAGAGUAUGGAGCAACCUAUUUAGUGGAUGCGAAAUACAUGUGGUUGCGUACUUCCAGUGUAGAAGCAGCAUAUAUAUAUGUGGUGUGUACGUGAUCUUGAUCUUAGGAGCAUGAAAAGUCUCUUAACAAGGGUCAACAAGACUUGACGACACUCAACACAAAGCAAAUAGCUUAUGUGGAAAGGUUGCAAUUAUGUAAAGUAGAUAUGGCUGUGGUAGGAAUUCAUCACCAUUGAGGAACAAUUAAGGUUUUGAUCAUUUUAAGAAUAAAUCUCUGAUAAUCAUGCAUGCUUAGAAAAAUAUUAUAGUAGCUCUUGUCUUACUAUCUCAUGUCCCACAA